Small nucleolar RNA from Mastacembelus armatus (zig-zag eel), 82 nucleotides. Ensembl annotates it as small nucleolar RNA snR60/Z15/Z230/Z193/J17. NCBI's taxonomy places the organism in Eukaryota, Metazoa, Chordata, Actinopteri, Synbranchiformes, Mastacembelidae. The record is from Ensembl.
UUGAUAUAAUGAUGAUUGCAUAGUUCAGCAGAUUAAACUGUGAAGAUUACCUGUUGUCUUUCGCUCCUAGCUGAUGUAUCAA